RNAcentral lists this long non-coding RNA (323 nucleotides) under Sorghum bicolor (sorghum). RNAcentral's name for it is "long non-coding RNA (SBIC_LNC010666)". Lineage: Eukaryota; Viridiplantae; Streptophyta; Magnoliopsida; Poales; Poaceae. The record is from RNAcentral.
CGAGGUUGUCGAGCACUUGCUCCUUUUUAUUUCCUCGAAAUAUCUUUUGCAUAGCCCAUGCCUCUAAUGCAAUAAUACUUCGGAAGAGUGAAUCUUUCUGAAUAAAUGUCUUGAUCUUAGGAGCAUGAUAAAUCUCUCAACAAGGGUCUAACUCAUUUUGAACAAACUCAAUACAGAGUAGAUAGCUUUUAUAAUCAUAAUUAAUAUUUUCAUUUUUAUCAGGCAUAUAAAACACUGAGGAUGGUAGCUAGAAUUUUGAAGAUUUUGAAAUAAAUUCUCCAAGCAACAAUGAUAUCAAGAAUAAGAAACUCAUACUCUACCAU